CCUAUUCUUCCACCCUAACCCAGCCACCACUUUCCCCCACCUUUUCUCCAUCUAGUCGCACAACCACGACCACUCCCAUCCCUUACAGCCCAAAUCGCCACCACCACUCAAAAUCAGCCCAUCCCCUAACCCCCACUGAAAUCAGCCCAACCCCACCCUUUUCGCAACCAAAAGAACCCUCCAUCCCACUAAAAUCAGCCAUAUCAUCGCACCACCACUUGAAAUCAGCCAAACCCCCAACCCCACUGAAAUCAGCCCAACUUUUAUCUUUUUUGCAGCCAAAAGAACCCUCCACCCCACUGAAAAUCAGCCCUACCACUGUUAAGCACCACUCGAAAUCAGCCAACCCCCAACCCCCACUGAAUCAGCCCAACCUUCACCCCCACUGGAAUCAGCCCUAUCAUUGUUAAAAAAUAAUUAAAAGGGUAAGGGUUAGGCUGUGCGGGAUGGAAGUGGUGGUGGCUGUGCUGGUUGUCUGGCUGGAAGGAGAAGAGGUGGGAGAGGUGGUUGGGUUGGAGUAGUAGUGGCUGGGUUGGGGUGGAAGAAUGGGUGGGAAUCUUUGCUGGUGGAAUCAUUGAGAGAUUUAUUCACGAAAAUGUGAAAGUUUCCAACUAUUCGUUAAGAACUUACAAUUGUAUUUCCAACAUUAUUUCUGGUUUGCAAAAAAAAUGGAAUAUAUGGUAAGUUGAACUGAACGACAAAGAUUAUAAUACAAUUUUUAAAACAAGAACGACAAAGAAUGCAACAGCUUAGAGGCUUAUUGUAAAGCGAGAUCAAAUCACAAGUAAAAGUAUCCUCUGGAGGUCCAUCUUCAUACUUCAAGAACAUGAUCAUCCUCAGAAGUAGAAUAGCUACUGUAAUCGACCAUAUAUCCUGCAACAACAGUUUUAGUAUUCGUUCAUAUCUUGAAUGCAAAUAGAUAGAAUUCCCUCUUUUUGUUAAGUGGUAAUGUGGUAUACAAAGUUUUCUUUGGCCAAAGCCAAAAAUGCUGUAUCAGAUAGAGUUUUCCAAGUUUAAUGAAAAUGCUAUCUCCCCUCUACUGACCCAAAAUGCUCUUUUUGUUAGAAGCUUAUUUUUACAAAUAUUUUUACUUCACUAUAUAUUUAAAAAUAAAGCUUAAAAAAAGUUUUAAAUAUAACUGAAACAGAACAUCAAU
Molecule: RNA transcript, 1156 nt
Organism: Amaranthus tricolor (Joseph's coat)
Lineage: Eukaryota; Viridiplantae; Streptophyta; Magnoliopsida; Caryophyllales; Amaranthaceae
Exons: 4
Source: RefSeq, a predicted model, not a curated record